Long non-coding RNA from Humulus lupulus (European hop), 2553 nucleotides. RefSeq lists it as uncharacterized. The record is from RefSeq and is a predicted model, not a curated record. The transcript is spliced from 3 exons. Lineage: Eukaryota; Viridiplantae; Streptophyta; Magnoliopsida; Rosales; Cannabaceae.
GAAAAAAAAAAAAAAAAAGAUAAAAGAUGGGCCAUCACGUAUUGGGCUUUGGAAAAGGGAAUUGACAAAAUGAGACCUUACAUCAUAUAUGUGUAUAUAUGUGAUGAAGGAAAGCAAAUGGGCCACGUGAUUAGCCUUGGGCAUUGCAACCAAGGGUAUCAUAUGCAUAUGAUAUAUAUAUAUAUAUAUAUCAUCAAAGGAAAAGAAGGGGCGGCUGCUAGAGAGGGGACGCCGACAAAAAGCAACCAGAGAAAAAGAUAACAAUGAAGAAAAAGAAAAAAAAGAAAAAAGAAGAGAAAGUUUAUUUGAGUGUUAUUUAGGGUUUUAGUUUUGCAUUUUAAUUUUGAGAUUGACAAAUUUUCAAAGGAAGAAGAAGAGGAAUUUGGAAGAAAAACUUAGAGUCUUGUGACAAUUCUAAAUUGGGUUUUUAUUUCUAUCUUUCUCUCUUUUUCAAUUUUGUAAUUUUUGCACAAUUUAUUAUGAGCUAAACUUUUGACACUUGAAUGGUUAAAGACCCCCUUUUUCAUGUAUUUCAAGUUUGAAUGUAUAUUUACGUAAAUUCACCAUUGUUCAUUCAAGUGUUGUUCAUGAUUAUUGUUUGUUGUUGUUUGGCCAACAAUGGCAGAUUAUUAAGCUAGAUUUAAUACUGGAAAGGUUAAAUCUAGUAGUUGGUGCUUGAAUGAUGCAAGAGAACACCCAUUUUCUAGGUUGUUCUUAGUAAGUAGAAUAUGAAUAUUUUACUACCUUGCAUAACUUUGAGAAUUGAUGCUUAAAUUAUGUUCUUGAAUCUGAUUUAAUAUAGGAAUAUAUUGGGUUAGAUGAUAGAACUUAUUUCAUGAGUUUUGGAAAAAUCUCAUGGGCUUAUAAGGAAUUCUAGUUAACUCUCUGUGUUUUGCUGAAGUAAUGCUGUAACAACUGGGCAGGUAAAAUAUAGGGGGAAUUUAGCUAUUCAAGUCUAUCAUUCCAUAGAUACUUUAUUUUGCAGUUAAUUUUCCAGCGUUUGUAACAAUAUUUUAAUCUUGAUUCCAGUUUAAUCAUUUUAUUUUAGUUCACAACAUCCAAUCUAUUUAUUUUCUUAAAAUUCCAAAUUAUUAAAUAAUUGGUUUUACAUUAAAUUUGACUUGCAAUCCCUGUGGAGACGAUCUUACUUAUCACUUUAUUACUUGUUUGACGAUUUCGUGCACUUGCGUAUACAAUUUUCACAACAAGUUUUUGGCGCCGUUGCCGGGGAUUGUUUUUAGUGAAAUUUUUCUUGUUAAAAUCAAUUGCUUUUCAAUUUGGUUUUUAUUUUUCAUCUUUAUUUUUCUUGUUCCUUUUUACAUUUUGUUUGUUUGAUUGUCUUGCAAGGAGCUUGAUAUGUCUCAUCGGCAAGUUCUCAUGAAUUUUGUUCAACACGACUUGGAGCCCUUGUAUGAAGCAUGGUGGAGAUACAAGGCAUUUCUAAUGAGGUUUCCAUAUCAUGGGCUGUCCAAAGAGUGUCAAUUAGAAGUAUUCCUCAAUGGGCUGAAUUCCACAACAAGGGAAUGGGUAGAAAAAGGAGAUGGUACCACCAAUUUCUACCAAUUAUCAUUGGAGGAAGCCUAUUGGAUGUUGGAAGAUAUGGCAACAUACAAUGAAUGGUGUUGUAAUUGUCCAAACAAUGACCAUGUUUGGGAGGACAACUACAACAAUUUGGAGCAAAAUUUUGACACUUAUACUCAAGGACCAAAUGAUGAGAUUUUGGAAGAUUUUCAAGAGUUCAACAUAGAAGAGCCAUGCAAUUUUUUGGUGUUUUGCGUUUCUGAAAUUAUGGAAAUUACUAGAAUUUGAUCUUAUCCAUACAACUCGUGAUAAUAUCUCUUUUUAGCAAGUCAUUUUAAAGGCAUCUGAGGUGUUUCAACAAUUUGAAUUUGAACUAUUUCUUCUUUCUACUUGGUAUGUUUGGGGAGAGAUGAACAAUAUUACUCACGGUCGAACCGCCCAAUCUCCAAUGAUUAUGGUUUCAAGAAUUAGAUCAUUAUUUGACAAGUAUAAUCAGAUGUUGUUUUUAAUACUAUAGGUAUUGGUUCGAUUAUUUGAAAUUCAUGUGGAGAAGUCCUGGCUUGUCUCUCCAAAUCACUCUUAGGUUGCUUUAUAGUGACUCGGGCAGAAUGUGUAGGGUUAAUGAUAGCAUUGGAUUGGAGCCAAAUGCUAGGUCUUCCUUUGAUUUUUGUUGAAUCAGAUUGUUUAGCAGCUAUGAUUGUUUUUUUGAAAAGAUCCUAUUAUUGCAAUAACUUAGGUUCUUUGUUAGAGGAUAUUGCAAGUUUGUUGUCCAAUUUUCCAGGAGUGUCCCUAAUUUAUGUACAUCGUACAGCUAAUAAGGUUGCACAUGAAUUGGCAGUACAUGCUUUUAGGGUGGACAACGAAUUUGUAUGGCUAGAAGAUUUCCCUUCUUUUCUUCAAGUUUUUUAGUCUUUUAGACUGUAUGACAUUAUAACCUUUUUCAAUGAAUAUAUUUUUGUUGGAUUUUAUGCCCUUAGAAAACCAUGUCGGGCAUGUAACGCGAUUUUAUAUUGUCAAUAAAAGUAGCAGAAA